GAUGAACGCUGGCGGCGUGCUUAACACAUGCAAGUCGAACGGAAAGGCCCAAGCUUGCUUGGGUACUCGAGUGGCGAACGGGUGAGUAACACGUGGGUGAUCUGCCCUGCACUUCGGGAUAAGCCUGGGAAACUGGGUCUAAUACCGGAUAGGACCACGUCUUGGAUGUUGUGGUGGAAAGUUUUUUCGGUGUGGGAUGAGCUCGCGGCCUCUCAGCUUGUUGGUGGGGUAAUGGCCUACCAAGGCGUCGACGGGUAGCCGGCCUGAGAGGGUGUACGGCCACAUUGUGACAGAGAGACGGCCCAGACUCCCACGGGGGGCAGCAGUGGGGAAUAUUGCACAAUGGGCGCGAGCCUGAUGCAGCGACGCCGCGUGUGGGAUGACGGCCUUCGGGUUGUAAACUCCUUUCGCUAGGGACGAAGCGUUUUUGUGACGGUACCUGGAGAAGAAGCACCGGCUAACUACGUG
RNAcentral lists this ribosomal RNA (468 nucleotides) under uncultured bacterium. Its description in RNAcentral is "partial 16S ribosomal RNA". It matches the Rfam family "Bacterial small subunit ribosomal RNA", at positions 28 to 507 of the family's 1533-position model. The record is from RNAcentral.